Molecule: unclassified non-coding RNA, 648 nt
Filed under: uncultured Prochlorococcus sp.
Lineage: Bacteria; Bacillati; Cyanobacteriota; Cyanophyceae; Synechococcales; Prochlorococcaceae
Description: partial 16S-23S ribosomal RNA intergenic spacer; may also contain 16S ribosomal RNA and 23S ribosomal RNA
Rfam family: tRNA (bases 306-378)
Source: RNAcentral
UUGUGGAGGAGGACGCCGAAGGUGGGGCUAAUGACUGGGGUGAAGUCGUAACAAGGUAGCCGUACCGGAAGGUGCGGCUGGAUCACCUCCUAACAGGGAGACAACAAAAUGUUUAAUAUUAUUAUUUUGUCACCUUAGGUCGAUCGGUAUCUCACGUUUUUAAUUUAUUAAGAAUUUCAUUUCCUAAGUUUUUCUAGGUCACACCCAUUUUUUUUUCCUGGGCCAUUAGCUCAGGUGGUUAGAGCGCACCCCUGAUAAGGGUGAGGUCCCUGGUUCAAGUCCAGGAUGGCCCAUAUCUCUAUGUUGGGGGUAUAGCUCAGUUGGUAGAGCGCCUGCUUUGCAAGCAGGAUGUCAGCGGUUCGAGUCCGCUUACCUCCACUGAUUACCACCUCUUCCAUAAUCUGUAGAAAGGAAAAAUUUUGAGUUGUGAUCCUUUUUCUGAACGAAUCUAGCUUCCUAAUGAAACCAUUAAGAUGCUGGACUCAUUGAAUUAAUUUCAUUGUUUUCAGAGAACCUUGACAACUGCAUAGAUUAUUUUUAAAGACAAUAAGCAUCUUUAAUGAUGCAGAUUUAUUAUUUGUGCAAAUGCAUUAAUAACAAUUCUAUUAAGCUGAUGCUUCAAUUUUGAAGUUAUUGGUCAAGCUACAA